RNAcentral lists this small RNA (116 nucleotides) under uncultured Anaeroplasma sp. RNAcentral's name for it is "Ribosomal protein L10 leader". It matches the Rfam family "Ribosomal protein L10 leader". Rfam says of the family: This family is a putative r-protein leader autoregulatory structure found in B. subtilis and other low-GC Gram-positive bacteria. It is located in the 5' untranslated regions of mRNAs encoding ribosomal proteins L10 and L12 (rplJ-rplL). Lineage: Bacteria; Bacillati; Mycoplasmatota; Mollicutes; Anaeroplasmatales; Anaeroplasmataceae. The record is from RNAcentral.
UUAAUUAAAAAAUAAGCCGAAGACAGUAGGCGGGCAAUAGCCCUUAAUCUCCUACCGAGGAAAAAUAGGAUAAAAACGAAUCCUUUUCUACUCGGUGGAAAAGGAUUUUCAUUUUA